Molecule: ribosomal RNA, 663 nt
Filed under: uncultured organism
Description: bacterial SSU rRNA
Rfam family: Bacterial small subunit ribosomal RNA
Source: RNAcentral
GGCUUAGAGUUUGAUCAUGGCUCAGGACGAACGCUGGCGGCGUGCUUAACACAUGCAAGUCGAACGGAGCACCCUUGACUGAGGUUUCGGCCAAAUGAUAGGAAUGCUUAGUGGCGGACUGGUGAGUAACGCGUGAGGAACCUGCCUUCCAGAGGGGGACAACAGUUGGAAACGACUGCUAAUACCGCAUGAUAUAUUUGAGGGGCAUCCCUUGGAUAUCAAAGAUUAUAUCGCUGGAAGAUGGCCUCGCGUCUGAUUAGCUAGAUGGUGGGGUAACGGCCCACCAUGGCGACGAUCAGUAGCCGGACUGAGAGGUUGACCGGCCACAUUGGGACUGAGAUACGGCCCAGACUCCUACGGGAGGCAGCAGUGGGGAAUAUUGGGCAAUGGACGCAAGUCUGACCCAGCAACGCCGCGUGAAGGAAGAAGGCUUUCGGGUUGUAAACUUCUUUUGUCAGGGAACAGUAGAAGAGGGUACCUGACGAAUAAGCCACGGCUAACUACGUGCCAGCAGCCGCGGUAAUACGUAGGUGGCAAGCGUUGUCCGGAUUUACUGGGUGUAAAGGGCGUGCAGCCGGGCCGGCAAGUCAGAUGUGAAAUCUGGAGGCUUAACCUCCAAACUGCAUUUGAAACUGUUGGUCUUGAGUACCGGAGAGGUUAUCG